RNAcentral lists this ribosomal RNA (465 nucleotides) under uncultured bacterium. Its description in RNAcentral is "partial 16S ribosomal RNA". It matches the Rfam family "Bacterial small subunit ribosomal RNA", at positions 28 to 507 of the family's 1533-position model. The record is from RNAcentral.
GACGAACGCUGGCGGCGUGCUUAACACAUGCAAGUCGAACGGAAAGGCCCUGCUUGCAGGGUACUCGAGUGGCGAACGGGUGAGUAACACGUGGGUGAUCUGCCCUGCACUUCGGGAUAAGCCUGGGAAACUGGGUCUAAUACCGGAUAGGAGCCAUUUUUAGUGUGAUGGUUGGAAAGUUUUUUCGGUGUAGGAUGAGCUCGCGGCCUAUCAGCUUGUUGGUGGGGUAAUGGCCUACCAAGGCGGCGACGGGUAGCCGGCCUGAGAGGGUGGACGGCCACAUUGGGACUGAGAUACGGCCCAGACUCCUACGAGAGGCAGCAGGGGGGAAUAUUGCACAAUGGGCGCAAGCCUGAUGCAGCGACGCCGCGUGGGGGAUGACGGCCUUCGGGUUGGAAACUCCUUUCGCUAGGGACGAAGCUUUUUGUGACGGUACCUAGAGAAGAAGCACCGGCUAACUACGUG